UUUUGCUGUUGACAGUGUGCACUAUGCUUACACAGUACGGGGAAGGACUGUCGUACUUCAUACAUUGUGAAUUUCUAAAUAGUGAUACAAGUGGUAAUGUAUGUAUAUCUUGCAUUUUAAGCAUGCUGAAAGUCAUUAGUUGAAGACACCUUAGGCUUUUGCCUGGGCUUGCUUACUUUCAAAUACUCAUGGUUGUUUCAGCCAACUGCGGAUAUGAUGCUGGUUUACAUGUUAUGGAUUCUUGUAGUGUAACUGUCAGGUUUGUAACUGUCAGGUUGUUUCAUGGUGUGAUGGCAGAACCUGUGCUACAACAGGUGUACGUAUCGGUUCUGCCAUUAAGGUAUUUGCACUCAGCUCAGGCUUUUAUGGUGGCUGACUGUUGUGUUCAUAUUUUGCAUAUGAAGAAAUGUGCACUAGUAUUUUACAUGUGGCAAAGAGGUCGCAGUUUUUAUGCUGCGCUAUUGUGGCCAGAUACUGCUACUACACAAUAGAAAUUGGGAAUCGUUUAAGUUCUCGCCUGGUAUCAUUUUGUUGAGAAACUACAACUGAUCCUGCAAUAAUAUGAAUGGAAGGAAAAUCUUGAUGCACAUGUCUUCCAUUGCGUCCAUUCGAACAAAUGUGUUCCCUUAACACCAAGGAUUUUUGUGUGUAGACUGUUAAAAAAAAUUUUUUUUUUCUUUAGCUUUAUGUGUGACAGGCUGUCUUUACGACCUGAACACAUUAAGGUCACCAUUAUGGGUCUCUUGACUAGCAGCUUGUAUGCAAAAGUUCUGUCAUGUGCACUAGUAUCAGGUGUGUUCAUUUUAUGUCAGCGAGACAUUGAUUCCUGUUCUGUUUUCUAUAGCAGUGACUUCAUAAGUAUGCUUUGGGCUAGGAGUUGCCCCCUUGGAUGUAUGUUUUUUUGGGCAGUUGUCCCUAUGACAGACAGAAUAUAUUGCAGCAAGCAAAAGCUAGGGGGCACUAUUUCACUUCAUUUUUCUGCACAUUCACUUAAGUUGCUAGCAUCACCCAGUUGUAGCUUUGUCUGUUUAGCUGUGCCCACCUGUGAUUUUUUGUUCUCAGUCCACAUAAGUUAUCCUGCUGCAUGUUCACUGCCCAUUAUUGUGGCAGGUUCAGCAUCAGUGGGCAGGUGUGGUUUUUGCUCAAAAAUGACUGUUUCUUUAACUUUCCAAUUUGUGUAAGGGUCCAAUUGGCGCAAAGUCUGUGGUGCACAACCAGACGUGUCAUUUCUUCCUGCAAGGCAAUGCAUCACCAAAGCUUUUUUCCUUGCAUUGUCGUCUGAAUUCCUUGCUUGGAAGUUUUCUGCCACUGCUGAUUGUCUUAAAGAAAGCUUUGCUGAAGGUGUUUUUUUUUAUAUUAAACUUACAAUAAUGGGUUAAAUCAUGUUGCAUGUUUAUAUUCAGAGUUUAAACAUGAUCCUUGUGCAGAACAAGCUAACAUGGAGCAUUUUAAUCACUGCCGACUUAAGCUCUCAAUAUUAAGUAGUAAGGAAGAAUAUGUAUGAUAUACAUAUAGGUGUAGAUGUGAGCUAGCUUUGUGACCUUUAUUGUAACAUCAAGAGAACUUGAUGUAUACUCCAGCAUGUCAGUCUCAAUGUACAGUUUUGCCAGUUUGUGACAGUCCUGUGUGACAGUGUUUGGUUCAUGUAGUCUGUAUUUAGCUGAGCACCUGCAUCAGGCCUUAAAUGAUUAUAUCGCACUGUUGGCAAACGCUGCUAAUAUUUGUGACUCAUUUGCAGGCUUACAGCCUUGGAAGGUGCAUACACUGGUACUGGUGUUCUGCAGAGUUAGCACUCUAGUUGGCAUCUGUAUGAAGUGUGGCUGCAGCAAUGGGGAUUUUUCAGCCACUUGCCCUUUUUCAAGUCGCAUGGGGCUACAGUAGCAAUUGUGUAUUUUAGAUUACAUAUAUAUAUAUAUACAGCACUUUGCAUCAAAUUGCUCUUUAGAAAAAUGAUGGGGAGCUCUGUAGAUGAAGUUGAUCUAUUUGAAUUUUGGGAGCUCUAGUGCCCCCCUUUUUUUCUGAAUCUUUUUUUAUGAUUGCUUGUGUGAAGUUUUUCUGAAUUGUGCAGACUUUGUCCUGCACAUGCAACUGUGCUCAGUGUACAUAAAACACAAUGUGUACUCAUCUUGUUUGUAUGCCUGCUCUAUUUAUUUGUGAAUAGAGUUCUAUAUGGGAAGUUGACAAAGGAUGUCUGCCAUCUGCACUGUCACUAGUCAUGUAGAAUCAUAUAUUACCCACAAAUGCGACUUACGAUUGUCAACAAUAAACAGUGUCCUUUGAAGUUUGAAAUAA
RNAcentral lists this long non-coding RNA (2292 nucleotides) under Dermacentor andersoni. RNAcentral describes it as "uncharacterized LOC126547291". The record is from RNAcentral. Lineage: Eukaryota; Metazoa; Arthropoda; Arachnida; Ixodida; Ixodidae.